GACGGAGGAUGCAAGCGUUAUCCGGAAUUAUUGGGCGUAAAGCGUACGUAGGCUGUUUGAUAAGUCUGUUGUCAAAGCGCGAGGCUUAACCUUGUAGAGGCAAUGGAAACUGUGAGACUAGAGAGAGAUAGGGGCAGGAGGAAUUCCAGGUGUAGCGGUGAAAUGCGUAGAUAUCUGGAAGAACACCAGUGGCGAAAGCGUCCUGCUGGAUCUCAACUGACGCUGAAGUACGAAAGCUAGGGGAGCGAAUGGGAUUAGAUACCCCAGUAGUCCUAGCCGUAAACGAUGGACACUAGGUGUUGGCCGUAUCGACCCGGUCAGUGCCGUAGCUAACGCGUUAAGUGUCCCGCCUGGGGAGUACGGUCGCAAGAUUGAA
RNAcentral lists this ribosomal RNA (376 nucleotides) under uncultured bacterium. RNAcentral's name for it is "bacterial SSU rRNA". It matches the Rfam family "Bacterial small subunit ribosomal RNA", at positions 524 to 898 of the family's 1533-position model. The record is from RNAcentral.